CAUCCCUUUUUUCUGCUGCCGUUUGUGUGAUUUUGAGAUAUGAAUUGAACUAUUUAGUUCAUCUAAAAAUUAAAAUAAAUUAACUAACUAUAAAAUAUAAAGACAUUUUAAUAAUAGAGUGAUUUUGAGAUAUGAAUUGAACUAAUAAAUUUUCUAAUAGUAAUUAAUUUGGGAGACUGAGUCAGCCACGCGCUUGUGGACGCAAAAGUGCAUAUAUGAGAAGGUUGAGGGUGGACUCUGACAGAUGCGUUUUCAUUAGCGUUUGUUAUGGCGUCCAAAUCACACUGAAAAGGGCAGUCAUUAACUUUCCCGGAAAAAUGCUAGAGACCAAACACCACGCCCUUCUUCAUUUUGUCUGGGGGCCGGCCUCAACUCCAUUGUUUCUUUCUCGACUGACUAGUGCUCAUCAACCUACUAGAGAUUUCUUAAGAUCAUAUCAAUUCAAUCAACUUCAGGUGUGCUUUAUGUAAUUUAUACUAGCCUAACCUGACUCAAUCCUACAACUAAAAAU
RNAcentral lists this long non-coding RNA (511 nucleotides) under Manihot esculenta (cassava). RNAcentral describes it as "long non-coding RNA (MESC_LNC005751)". The record is from RNAcentral. Lineage: Eukaryota; Viridiplantae; Streptophyta; Magnoliopsida; Malpighiales; Euphorbiaceae.